AGUGAACGCUGGCGGUAGGCCUAACACAUGCAAGUCGAACGGCAGCACAGUAAGAGCUUGCUCUUACGGGUGGCGAGUGGCGGACGGGUGAGGAAUACAUCGGAAUCUACUUUUUCGUGGGGGAUAACGUAGGGAAACUUACGCUAAUACCGCAUACGACCUACGGGUGAAAGCAGGGGAUCUUCGGACCUUGCGCGAUUGCAUGAGCCGAUGUCGGAUUAGCUAGUUGGCGGGGUAAAGGCCCACCAAGGCGACGAUCCGCAGCGGGUGUGAGAGGAUGAUCAGCCACACUGGAACUGAGACACGGUCCAGACUCCUACGGGAGGCAGCAGUGGGGAAUAUUGGACGAUGGGCGCAAGCCUGAUCAAGCCAUACCGCGUGGGUGAAGAAGGCCUUCGGGUUGUAAAGCCCUUUUGUUGGGAAAGAAAAGCAGCAGGUUAAUCCCCCGCUGUUCUGACGGUACCUAAAGAAUAAGCACCGGCUAACUUCGUG
This 492-nucleotide ribosomal RNA is filed under the name uncultured bacterium. RNAcentral describes it as "partial 16S ribosomal RNA". It matches the Rfam family "Bacterial small subunit ribosomal RNA", at positions 29 to 507 of the family's 1533-position model. The record is from RNAcentral.